Molecule: ribosomal RNA, 462 nt
Filed under: Triticum aestivum (bread wheat)
Lineage: Eukaryota; Viridiplantae; Streptophyta; Magnoliopsida; Poales; Poaceae
Description: partial small subunit ribosomal RNA
Source: RNAcentral
AUGGAUCUGUUCAGGGCUAAUUUGUCAGUGAUGCUACCAUGUGCUGAAGUCAGAGAUGGUCUUGGGCUGGAGGACAGGCUUGCAGAUAAAGGACUCGUGGUGAAUCAUUCAAACACUGCUGGUAUGGAUGGAGAACACAUGAAGCAUGCAGAGGAGCCUGCAGUUGCUGGUGAACUUGCAGAUAAUGACUCCAUUUCGAGGACAAGCAACCGGUUGGACGGAUUGCUGGCUCCAGAAAAAAGGAAAGAGAUGGGUCGGCCAACAACCAGUAGGGAGAAAGCUCCAUAUGAAGGAUUGAGCAAACGGACCAGAUUUUGCACAAUAUGCCGUAGGCAAGGACACAAGCGAACAACUUGUCCGGAUCAUGGAGAUGUCCCAAAGCAGCCUCGAAAGCCUGCUAGAUGCAAAAUUGUGGUGUCGAAGGGCAUCGACGAAACAAUUGUAAUAAAGCAAUGGAACUAA